ACUCCUACGGGAGGCAGCAGUGGGAAUCUUGGACAAUGGGGCAACCGUGAUCUAGCCAUGCCGCGUGAGCGAUGAAGGCCUUAGGGUUGUAAAGCUCUUUCAGCUGGGAAGAUAAUGACGGUACCAGCAGAAGAAGCCCCGCUACUCCGUGCCAGCAGCCGCGGUAAUACGGAGGGGCGUAGCGUUGUUCGGAAUUACUGGGCGUAAAGCGCACGUAGGCGGAUU
This 225-nucleotide ribosomal RNA is filed under the name uncultured bacterium. RNAcentral describes it as "partial 16S ribosomal RNA". It matches the Rfam family "Bacterial small subunit ribosomal RNA", at positions 335 to 581 of the family's 1533-position model. The record is from RNAcentral.